UACGUAGGGCGCAAGCGUUAUCCGGAAUUAUUGGGCGUAAAGAGCUCGUAGGCGGUUUGUCGCGUCUGCCGUGAAAGUCCGGGGCUCAACUCCGGAUCUGCGGUGGGUACGGGCAGACUAGAGUGAUGUAGGGGAGACUGGAAUUCUUGGUGUAGCAGUGAAAUGCGUAGAUAUCAAGAGGAACACCAGUGGCGAAGGCGAGUCCCUGGACAACACCUGACACUGAGGCACGAAAGCUAGGGGAGCAAACAGG
RNAcentral lists this ribosomal RNA (253 nucleotides) under uncultured bacterium. Its description in RNAcentral is "partial 16S ribosomal RNA". It matches the Rfam family "Bacterial small subunit ribosomal RNA", at positions 524 to 776 of the family's 1533-position model. The record is from RNAcentral.